GAUGAACGCUGGCGGCGUGCCUAAUACAUGCAAGUCGAGCGAACGGACGAGAAGCUUGCUUCUCUGAUGUUAGCGGCGGACGGGUGAGUAACACGUGGAUAACCUACCUAUAAGACUGGGAUAACUUCGGGAAACCGGAGCUAAUACCGGAUAAUAUUUUGAACCGCAUGGUUCAAAAGUGAAAGACGGUCUUGCUGUCACUUAUAGAUGGAUCCGCGCUGCAUUAGCUAGUUGGUAAGGUAACGGCUUACCAAGGCAACGAUGCAUAGCCGACCUGAGAGGGUGAUCGGCCACACUGGAACUGAGACACGGUCCAGACUCCUACGGGAGGCAGCAGUAGGGAAUCUUCCGCAAUGGGCGAAAGCCUGACGGAGCAACGCCGCGUGAGUGAUGAAGGUCUUCGGAUCGUAAAACUCUGUUAUUAGGGAAGAACAUAUGUGUAAGUAACUGUGCACAUCUUGACGGUACCUAAUCAGAAAGCCACGGCUAACUACGUGCCAGCAGCCGCGGUAAUACGUAGGUGGCAAGCGUUAUCCGGAAUUAUUGGGCGUAAAGCGCGCGUAGGCGGUUUUUUAAGUCUGAUGUGAAAGCCCACGGCUCAACCGUGGAGGGUCAUUGGAAACUGGAAAACUUGAGUGCAGAAGAGGAAAGUGGAAUUCCAUGUGUAGCGGUGAAAUGCGCAGAGAUAUGGAGGAACACCAGUGGCGAAGGCGACUUUCUGGUCUGUAACUGACGCUGAUGUGCGAAAGCGUGGGGAUCAAACAGGAUUAGAUACCCUGGUAGUCCACGCCGUAAACGAUGAGUGCUAAGUGUUAGGGGGUUUCCGCCCCUUAGUGCUGCAGCUAACGCAUUAAGCACUCCGCCUGGGGAGUACGACCGCAAGGUUGAAACUCAAAGGAAUUGACGGGGACCCGCACAAGCGGUGGAGCAUGUGGUUUAAUUCGAAGCAACGCGAAGAACCUUACCAAAUCUUGACAUCCUUUGACAACUCUAGAGAUAGAGCUUUCCCCUUCGGGGGACAAAGUGACAGGUGGUGCAUGGUUGUCGUCAGCUCGUGUCGUGAGAUGUUGGGUUAAGUCCCGCAACGAGCGCAACCCUUAAGCUUAGUUGCCAUCAUUAAGUUGGGCACUCUAAGUUGACUGCCGGUGACAAACCGGAGGAAGGUGGGGAUGACGUCAAAUCAUCAUGCCCCUUAUGAUUUGGGCUACACACGUGCUACAAUGGACAAUACAAAGGGCAGCGAAACCGCGAGGUCAAGCAAAUCCCAUAAAGUUGUUCUCAGUUCGGAUUGUAGUCUACAACUCGACUACAUGAAGCUGGAAUCGCUAGUAAUCGUAGAUCAGCAUGCUACGGUGAAUACGUUCCCGGGUCU
RNAcentral lists this ribosomal RNA (1372 nucleotides) under uncultured bacterium. RNAcentral describes it as "bacterial SSU rRNA". It matches the Rfam family "Bacterial small subunit ribosomal RNA", at positions 28 to 1381 of the family's 1533-position model. The record is from RNAcentral.